UCUAUGUUCGUUCUUAGUUCCUUUGGUUUCUAAUCGUUGGGGCAACAUCCUAGUUUCUAUCUAUGUUCUUUGUUAGAUCCUUCGGUUUCCCACCAUUGGGAUGUCAUCCUUUGAUUGCUCAUCAUUGGAACAUCAAUCUUAGUUCUAUCUAUUUUCAUUCUUAGUUCCUUUAGUGUCCUAUCAUCAGGAUGUGAUCCUAGGUUCUAUUUAAGCUUAUUCAUUUGUUCCUUUUGUUCUCAUCAUUGGGACGUCAUCCUAGGUUCUAUAUAUGUUCCUUUUGUUUUUCAUCACUGGAAUGCCAUCCUAGGUUCUAACUAUGUUGAAUUUUUGUUCAUUUGGUUUCCAAUCAUUAGAAUAUGAUCCUAUUUUCUACCAAGAAUUAGUCGAGAUUGUUUCUUUCGCUUCUCAUCAUUGUGACGCCAUCGUAGUUUCUGUCUAUGUUCGUUCUUAGUUCGUUUGGUUUCCAAACAUUUGGAUGCCAUCCUACGUUCUAUAGGUUCAUUGUUAGUUCCUCUGGUUUUCAAUCAUUGGGAAGUCAUCCUAAGCUCUAUCUAUGGUUGUUCAUUUGUUCCCUUAAUUUCUCGUCAUUGGGAACUCGUCCUAGGCUCUAUCUAUGCUCAUUGUAUGUUCCUUCGGUUUCCAAUCAUUGAGAAGGUAUCCUAGGUUCUAUCCAUGCUUAUUCAUUUGUUCCUUUCGUUUCUCAUCAUUAGCAUGCCAUCCUAGGCUUUAUUUACGUUAAUUCUUUCCUCCUAAGGUUUCCAUCAUUAGGAUGCAAUCCUGGUUUCCAUCUAAAGCUUAUUUCUCUGCUCCUUUCGGUUCUCAUCAUUGAGACUCAUCCUAUGUUCAUUUAAAGCAUAUUCGAUUGUUCGUUCGAUUGCUUUAUGGGAUCUAUCUACGGUUAUUUGUUUAUUCUUUUAGUUUCUAACAUUGAAACGUAAUCAUAGGUUUAAUCAUCCUAAGUUCCUUUUGUUUCCCAUCAUUGCGAAGCCAUCCAAGGUUCGAUCUAAGCUUAUUCGUUUCUCAUCUUAAGGACACCACCUUAUAUUCUAUCUAUGUUCAUUCUUAGUUCCAUCGGUUUCCCAUCAUUGGGAUGCCAUCCUAGGUUUUAGUUUCUAUUUAAAGCUUGUUUAUUUGUUCCUUUUGAUUUUCAUCACUAGGAUGCCAUCCUAGGUUCUAUCUAUGUUGAAUUUUCGUCCAUUUGGUUUCCAAUCAUUGGAAUGUCAUCCCAUGUUCUACCUAAGAUUAGUCGAUUGUUUCUUUCGUUUCUCAUUGUUGUGACACCAUCGUAGUUUGUAUCUAUGGUCGUUCUUAGUUCCAUCAUUAGGAUGCCAUUCUACUUUCCAUCUAAAGCUUAUUUCUUUGUUCCUUUUGUUUCUCAUCAUUGAGACUCCAUCCUAUGUUUUAUCUAUGUUCAUUCUUAGUUCAUUUAAAGCAUAUUCCUCUGUUCCUUCAAUUGCUCACCGUUAGAACGCUAUUCUUGGUUCUAUCUAUUUUCAUUCUCAGUUCCUUUAGUUUCCCAUGCUUGAGAUGUCAUCCUAGUUUUUAUCUAAACUUAUUCGUUUGUUCCUUUCCUUUCCCAUCACUAGGAUGUCAUCCAAGGUUCUAUUUAUGUUCAAUUUUGGUUCCUUAUAUGUUUUGAUCAUUGGGAUGCCAUCCUGUUUCUAGCUAAGCUUAGUCGGUUGUUUCUUUGUUGUAUCAUCAUUCUGAUGCCAACCAAGUUUCUACCCGUGUUUGUUUUUAGUUCCUUUGGUUUCCUAAGAAUUGGAUUCUAUCCAAGGUUUUUUUUCUAUGUUCAAUGUCAUUUUCUUUGGUUUCCAAUCAUUGUGAAGUCAUCCUAGGUUCUCUCUCUAAGGUUAUUUGUUUCUUCAUUUGGUUUAUCAUCAUUGAGACGUCAUCCUAGGUUAAAUCUAUGCUCAUUGAGACUUCCUUUUGUUUCCCAUCAUUGCGAAUCUGUCACACCCCUGUUUUUUUUUUUUUUUUUUCGAACUUUACAAUUGAUACUCAAAUACAGUAUAAGUGCUCUAAAAAAAAUGAGGAUACAAAAAUUUAAAUGUCGAGUUUCUGCUUGAUUUGGUGCAAAAAGAGAAUAUGCAAAACUUGUUAUAAAGAGUACAUCCUAUAUUAAACUUUAUAACAAUUAGUUAACAAAAUAUGAUUCAUUUUACAAAAGAAACUUGUACUAUGUUAAUUUACAUAUAUAUCAAAACCCCAUGGUUCACUACGGGUAGCCCAUACUACAAGUGUACCUGACAAAUAUUUAUAUUACAUCAUUCUUAAAAAGAGAUUCAGUCUUUAACACAAAGGGAAAGUCUCAAAACACUUUCAAUGCGAGCAAACAACAUCCAAUCACAAUAAAGCAAUGCUCAAGCAUUAUUUCCAACAUAGGUCUUUUGACCUGCAUCUAAAGGUGGAAGGGAUAGGGUGAGUUCACAACUCAAUAGGAAAGUUUAUAAGCAUCCUAGACAUACCCAUAAAAACCUUGAAUUAAACGUAUAAUAGCAUGCAUGAUAAACAUUUUAUAACCAUUAAUAAAUAUACAAUCAUGUAAAACAUGUAUGCAUGUGUUUGCUAGUUUCAUCUUUGCUUUUCCUCAUCUAUCCUUUCACAACUGAUAAACUACUAACCCCCACCAAUCUACACAUCAGAUAUCAAUUCUCCACAAGAUACUUGGUCAAUAUAAUAAUAACUAUUUUGAGACAUUACCCCAGAGUAAGUCAUAUCCCGUGUCUUUUGGGACUCAUACCCAAGGGAAGGACCAACCCCACGUCUUUAGGGACUAAAACCCAAGGGCAGGACCAACCCCAUACACCUACAUCAGAGUGUCUUCCUCGAGGGCUUUAGGGACUUUCACCCACAUAAGUGCUCUCAAUGAUAUGGGGAUACAAUAAUUUAAAUAUUGAGUUCCUUCUUGAUUUUGUGCAAAAGGAGGAUAUGCAAAACCUGUUAUAAAGAGUGCAUCUUGUAUUAAACUUUGUAACUAUUAAUUAACAAAAUAUGUUUCGUUUCACAAAAGAAACUUGUACUACAUUAAUUUGCAUAUACCAAAACCCCAUGGUUCACUACGGGUAGCCCAUACUACAAGUGUACUUAACAAAUAUAUAUAUUAUAUCAUUCCUACAAAAAAGAUUUAGUCUUUAAUACAAAGGCAAAGCCUCAAAACACUAUCAAUGUGAGCAAACAACAUCCAAUCACAAUAAAGCAAUGCUCAAGCAUUAUUUCCUGCAUAGGUCUUCUAACAUGUAUCUAAAGGUGGAAGGGAUAGGGUGAGUUCACAACUCAGUAGGAAAGUUUAUGACCAUCCUAAGCAUACCCUUAAAAACUUUGAAUUAAACAUGUAAUAGUAUGCAUGAUAAACAUUUUAUAAUUAUUAACAAAUAUGCAAUCAUGUCAAACAUGUAUGCAUGUGUUUGCUGGUUUCAUCUUUGCUUUUCCUCGUCCAUUCUUUCACAACUGAUAAAUUGUUCACCCCCACCAAUCUAUAUAUUAGAUAUCAAUGCUCCACAACAUACACGGUCAAUAUAAUAAUGACUAUUCUUAGACCUCACCUAAGGGCAAGUCAUACCCUGUGUCUUUUGGGACUCAUACCCAAGGGUAGACCAACCCCAUACACCCACAUUGGAGUGUCUUCCUCGAGGGCUUUAGAGACUUUCACCCAAGUACCCACCGUCCCACAUAAACAAUAUAUCAAAAGAUAAUGUUUGUAACAUCACAUAAACACUUCCCACCAAUCAAUUCUCUGAAUAUCAUCUGUGAUUAUUCCAUAUCCUUCUGUCAAUACAACCACACCAUGAACCAUUUCCACAACACUAAACCAAAAAUCGUCAUACCAAUAUGCAUUCCAAUCUCAAUGUAACAUUUCAACACAAUAAACCAAAAUGCAAUGACACAUUAAAACAUUUUACGAAAUCAUAGAAAUGACAUGAGAUUUCUAAUAAAUGUUUCAAGAAAAGAAAUCAGAUACAUUAUGGGAUAGCAUAAAAUUCCCUACCUUACACGGACUUUCCCUCUGUGAUUCUUCUAUGUAGGCGAUCUUUACUUAUUACAAGGAACUGAAAUAAAACAACAUAAUUUAGGUUUCUUAACCAUGAAAAUUUAUUCAAUAAAAAUUUAUGAAAUUUUCCUUUCUUACUAAUUUUUAACAACUUAUUGUUAUUAAUUUUUAAUUCUCAUAUUUUCCAAUUAAUUACCAAGCACUAAUUAACCUAAUUAAUCGCAUGUUUACGAAUCUAUAAUACUUAAUCUAAAACACUUUAAUCCUUAAUUAAUUGUGAUUUUUUUAACUAAAACAUGUUUAUAUAAUUAAACUCAACUUUUACACAAAUUUUACCGUGAAUUUGUUUCAACAUACCAUUAGGAACCAAAAAAAAACUAAAUUAAACAACUUGCUUACCUCAAAUCUUCACUUUCUCUCUCUAGAUCCUCUUUUUAACCCAAGCUGUUGCUGGUGAAAUGCUGCAAGCCCCUAUAAAGGUCUCCAUGGAGCCAAAGUAGGAGGUGGCAGGUCACAUGGCUGCCACCAACCCUAACUUUCCAUAAUUGCACUUUAGUCCUCCAAAUUAACCAAUAUUAAACUUACAAUUGCCCAUUAGUCCUUUAGGUUUUCAUAACUCUAAUAAGUCCUUAGGAACCUAAUAAGCGUACUUAAAUCAUUAACUAAUCCUACAUAACCUUAAUUAAAUUUUAAUUCAUAAUUGAACAAGAUUAGCACUAAACUAGCUUUAACAUCUAAUUCAGCACGUUUAAAGUUAAGUACUAAGAUAAUCAUUAUUGCCUAUUUAAUUCAUUAGUGCUAGGUAUUAAUGAAUCCAUCCAAAGUUCGAUCUAUGCUUAUUCAUUUCUUCCUUUUGUUUCUCAUCUUUAGGACACCACCUUAUGUUCUAUCUAUGUCCAUUCUUAGUUCCAAUGGUUUCCCAUCGUUAGGAUGUCGUCUUAGGUUCUAUCUAAGCUUAUUCAAUUGCUCAUCAUUGGAACCCCAUUCUUAUUUCCUUUCAUUUCUCAUCAUCAGGAUGCCAUCCUAGGUUCUAUAUAAGCUUAUUCAUUUGUUCUUUUGACUCAUCAUAAUUGGGACACCGUUCAUGGAUCCAUCUAUCUUCAUCCUUAGGUUCUUCAGUUUUCUGUCAUUGUGAUGUAAUUGUUUUUUCCUUUGGUUUGCCAUAACUGGGACGCCUUUCUAGCUUCUAUCUAUUUUCAAAGUUAGUUCCUUUAGUUUCUGAUCGUGGAGAUCCAAUCUUAGGUUUCUACCUCAGCUUAGUUGGUUGUUUCUUUGGUUUCUCGUUGUUGAAACGCCACCUUAGUUUCUAUUUAUCUAUGUUCAUUCUUAGUUCCUUUGGUUUCCUAACAUUUGGAUUUCGUCCUAGGUUCUGGCUAUGUUUAUUGUUAGUUCCUUUAGUUUCGAAUUAUUGGGAAGCCAUCCAAGGAUCUAUCUAAGGUUAUUUGUUUAGUUUCUCAUCAUUGUGACACCAUCCUAGGUUCUAUGUAUGUUUGUUCUUAAUUCCUUUGGUACCCAAACAUUUGGAUGCCAUCCUAGGUUUUGUCUAUGUUCAUUGAUAGUACCUUUGGUUUCCAAUUAUUGUGAAGUCAUCAUAGGUUCUAUCUAAGGUAAAUUAUUUGUUCUCUAGUUUCAUUUCGUUGCAUUGCCAUUCUAGGUUCUAUGUUUGUUCAUUCUUACUUCCUAAGGUUCCCAUUCAUUAGGAUGUGAUCCGAGUUUUUAUGUCUUCUUAUUUCUUCAUUCCUUUGGUUGUUGAUCAAUGUGAUGCCAUCCUACAAUCUAUAUAUAUUCAUUCGUAGUUCCUUUGGUUUCACAUCACUGGGAUGCCAUCUUAGGUCCUAUCUAAUGUUAUGCAUAUGUUCCUUUGCUUUCUCCUCGUUUCAAUGCCAUCCUAGUUCCUAUCUAUGUUUGUUCUUAGUUCCUUUGGUUUCUAAUUGUUGGGGCAACAUCCUAGUUUCUAUCUAUGUCCAUUGUUAGUUCCUUUGGUUCCCCACCAUUGGGAUGUCAUCCUUUGAUCGCUCAUCAUUGGAACGUCAAUCUUAGUUCUAUCUAUUUUCAUUCUCAGUUCCUUUAGUGUCCUAUCAUUAGGAUGUGAUCCUAGGUUCUAUUUAAGCUUAUUCAUGUGUUCCUUUUAUUCUCAUCACUGAGAUGUCAUUCUGGGUUCUAUAUAUGUUCAAUUUUAGUUACUUUGGUUUCCGAUAGUUGGGAUGCCAUCCUAGGUUCUACCUAAGAUUAGUCAAUUGUUUCUUUGGUUUCUCAUCAUUGUGACACCAUCAAUGGGAUACCAUCCCAAUUUCUAUACAAGGUUUUUAUCUAAAGCUUAUUUCUUCGUUCCUUUUGUUUUUCAUCACCAGAAAGCCA
Molecule: long non-coding RNA, 6349 nt
Filed under: Vitis vinifera (wine grape)
Lineage: Eukaryota; Viridiplantae; Streptophyta; Magnoliopsida; Vitales; Vitaceae
Description: long non-coding RNA (VVIN_LNC007593)
Source: RNAcentral